AUGAUCCAUAUGUAUGGGAAGAUGGGCAGGCUUGACUUGGCACUUGGUCUGUAUGAUGAGAUGAGAGCCAUAGGCCGCACUCUAGAUGUUGUGACUUACACUGUCUUGAUUGAUUCUCUGGGAAAGGUGUAUAUGAUUUCUGAUGCAGGGAAGGUGCUGGAGGAGAUGGUGGGUGCAAGAUUAAAGCCAACACUGGUAACCUUCAGUGCUUUGAUAUGUGCAUAUGCCAAAGGUGGGAGGCGGGACGAGCGGCGGAGCAGACAUUUGAUCGUAUGGUUGCGUCAGGUGUCAAACCUGAUCGCUUAG
Molecule: ribosomal RNA, 306 nt
Filed under: Triticum aestivum (bread wheat)
Lineage: Eukaryota; Viridiplantae; Streptophyta; Magnoliopsida; Poales; Poaceae
Description: partial small subunit ribosomal RNA
Source: RNAcentral